GAAGCCUGAUCGUAGCGAUUGGUUUUGCC
This 29-nucleotide small RNA is filed under the name Bombyx mori (domestic silkworm). Its description in RNAcentral is "ovarian small RNA-15240". The record is from RNAcentral. Lineage: Eukaryota; Metazoa; Arthropoda; Insecta; Lepidoptera; Bombycidae.